GCUAUGGCUAUGUGGCAGAGCAUCAACUUUGCAUGUAGAAGGUCCCAAGUUCAAUCCCUGGGAUCUACA
This 69-nucleotide transfer RNA is filed under the name Sphaerodactylus townsendi. RNAcentral describes it as "tRNA-Ala". Lineage: Eukaryota; Metazoa; Chordata; Lepidosauria; Squamata; Sphaerodactylidae. The record is from RNAcentral.